RNAcentral lists this ribosomal RNA (394 nucleotides) under uncultured bacterium. RNAcentral describes it as "bacterial SSU rRNA". It matches the Rfam family "Bacterial small subunit ribosomal RNA", at positions 28 to 416 of the family's 1533-position model. The record is from RNAcentral.
GACGAACGCUGGCGGCGUGCUUAAUACAUGCAAGUGGAGCGACGAACCAGGCUUCGGCCUGGGGCAGAGCCGCGAACGGGUGAGUAACACGUGGGUAACCUGCCUCGAUGACCGGGACAACCCGGGGAACCCGGGCUAAUACCGGAUGUGCUGUCCCCACAUCAGUGGAGACAGGAAAGGAAGCUUCGGCCUCCGCAUCGAGAUGGGCCCGCGGCCCAUUAGCUUGUUGGUGUGGUAACGGCNCACCAAGGCUGCGAUGGGUAGCUGGUCUGAGAGGACGAUCAGCCACACUGGGACUGAGACACGGCCCAGACUCCUACGGGAGGCAGCAGUAGGGAAUCUUGCGCAAUGCGCGAAAGCGUGACGCAGCAACGCCGCGUGGGGGAAGAAGGCC